UGUGUUUUUUGUAUACUUCACAGGUUUCAGCGUUUUCAACAUGGGAAAAAGAGUUACACAAAAUAGUGUUUGACCCACGAUACCUUCUGCUAAAUUCAGAGGAACGUAAGCAGAUAUUUGAACAGUUUGUCAAGACCAGGAUAAGAGAAGAGUACAAAGAAAAGAAGAACAAAUUGUUGUUAGCCAAAGAAGAAUUUAAAAAGCUCCUCGAAGAAUCCAAGCUAUCACCAAGAACGACAUUCAAAGAGUUUGCAGAGAAAUAUGGCAGGGAUCAGAGGUUCCGCCUGGUUCAGAAGAAGAAGGACCAAGAGCAUUUUUUCAAUCAGUUCAUACUUAUCCUUAAAAAGAGAGACAAAGAAAACAGGAUAAGGCUACGGAAAAUGAGAUAAAACUGCUUGGAGCUGGCAGUGAGUGCAGAAGCUAAAGCUGGGACUGCAGGAAGGACCCCAAGUGAUGGUGAAAGCAAAGGCUGACCUCGCAGCAGCUGAAGGACGGAGUGCAUAUCCCUGAGAAAAACUUUCUCUGAAUGGUGUUUGUUGAACACACGGAGCAUUUGUGAAGGUUGUUCUGCAGGAAUCUGAAGGAUAUUUGUUCCCAAGGAAUUAAUGUUUCAUAUUGAAGCUCUCUUUUGUACAACAUCCAGAGUUUGAUGCAUUUCUAAUUGCCGUGAUAUGUCAAUCCCUUAAUUGUUUUAAUUAUGCAAAUUACUUGUAAUACACACAAAUUAUGAAUCCGGCGCAGAUUUGUAAUUAAGCAGAAACAGAUGCCAUCCAUAACAAUCUCAAGAUAUUUUGAUCAUUUCGAGGAAUUAUCUAUCGCAAUCUUUUGGCAACUUUCUGCAUUAGCACAAAUUGUUCGGAGGUGCAGCGGGAUGCAGGGGUUCAUUGCCGCGUUCACAUGUCUGUGUCCAGUUCUCUGAGUAGUACUAUUAAAUAUUAAUUGUUAAUCUUAGUGAAGAGUGUGAAAACCCUGGCCAGUGUUCCAUAGGAAACUCUCCUUUCCAGAAAUAGCUUUCCUGAUCCCAUGGGUGGUGCUUUGGGCUGAUAGCAGCACUGCUCUGUCGGAGUUCCGUAAAGGCGUUCUUUUGUACAACCAUCGCGGUCUGAGUUGCGUUCCUGUAUGUGGAAAGUCUGCAUGAGAUUUUUCUCAUCAUCUUUGUAUAAAUUAAAUAU
This is a non-coding RNA of Meleagris gallopavo (turkey), 1172 nucleotides long. The record is from RefSeq and is a predicted model, not a curated record. NCBI's taxonomy places the organism in Eukaryota, Metazoa, Chordata, Aves, Galliformes, Phasianidae.